This 497-nucleotide ribosomal RNA is filed under the name uncultured bacterium. Its description in RNAcentral is "partial 16S ribosomal RNA". It matches the Rfam family "Bacterial small subunit ribosomal RNA", at positions 28 to 507 of the family's 1533-position model. The record is from RNAcentral.
GAUAAACGCUGGCGGCGUGCCUAAUACAUGCAAGUCGAGCGAACAGAUGAGGAGCUUGCUCCUCUGACGUUAGCGGCGGACGGGUGAGUAACACGUGGAUAACCUACCUAUAAGACUGGGAUAACUUCGGGAAACCGGAGCUAAUACCGGAUAACAUAUUGAACCGCAUGGUUCAAUAGUGAAAGACGGUUUUGCUGUCACUUAUAGAUGGAUCCGCGCCGCAUUAGCUAGUUGGUAAGGUAACGGCUUACCAAGGCAACGAUGCGUAGCCGACCUGAGAGGGUGAUCGGCCACACUGGAACUGAGACACGGUCCAGACUCCUACGGGAGGCAGCAGUAGGGAAUCUUCCGCAAUGGGCGAAAGCCUGACGGAGCAACGCCGCGUGAGUGAUGAAGGUCUUCGGAUCGUAAAACUCUGUUAUUAGGGAAGAACAAAUGUGUAAGUAACUAUGCACGUCUUGACGGUACCUAAUCAGAAAGCCACGGCUAACUACGUG